UUCACUAGAAGCAGAGUACUACUUUUCCACUUAUUUUUAGCCGACGUUUUUUAUGUGAAGCUUGACAGCAUUCCGCCUGAAAAGCUGAACAGAAUACUCAGCUUUACACAAAGAAAAUUUCGGUUACGGUGUUGGUAAAGAAAAUUUCGUUUAGAAUAUGUCAAUGCAUUUCUUAUGGUAACGAAAACUCAAAACAUGUGACAUACAUAAAAGCAAUUUUUACCCUAAUGGCCUGAAAAGAUUUAAUCAUAAUGUAAAAACAAUCAAUCCUAAUGUAGUAUGAAGCAUACAUUCAAUGAAUUUCUAUUGGCAUCGAAAAUUUCGCUAAAACUGCGUACAGGCCUUUUGGUGUUGCUCGCCCAGGUCCAAUUUCUAGCGGAUAUAUAAUAACAAACCAAGACGGCACUGAUAUGAAAAGUCCACUGUAGGAUUAUUUUGUAAAUAAAAUCAAAAACCUAAAAUUGUUUAUAAAAUUUGGUGUAGAAUAAGCUGGUAGUCAAGUAAAAUGCACUGUCAACAAAAUUCUGUACACCAUGCAUAUAUGUAUAAGCAAAAUUAUGCACGUUGAGUAUUUAAUACCACAAAUUGUCGAUAAAUUUGACUAUGAGAAAGAAUGUAAGGGUGUAUGUAAAUCAUUUCCUCUA
Long non-coding RNA from Stomoxys calcitrans (stable fly), 644 nucleotides. RefSeq lists it as uncharacterized. Lineage: Eukaryota; Metazoa; Arthropoda; Insecta; Diptera; Muscidae. The transcript is spliced from 2 exons. The record is from RefSeq and is a predicted model, not a curated record.